UAAUAAGUGUUUUAUGGCACUUUUUAAAUCCAUAUCCACCUUGUGUGCAAUGUCAGUCGAUCUCCAUGAAGAAGAUCGACCAAACAUCAACCUUUAUCUUUUAACUCUUUGUCUGAAAAAUAUUAUGAAUAAACAAUUCAAAAUA
Molecule: unclassified non-coding RNA, 145 nt
Filed under: uncultured Mortierella
Lineage: Eukaryota; Fungi; Mortierellomycota; Mortierellomycetes; Mortierellales; Mortierellaceae
Description: sequence contains ITS1
Source: RNAcentral